CUACCUCUCAGUGGGGGACAACCUGCCGAAAGGCGGGCUAAUACCGCGUAACACGAUCGGUUCACAAGGGCCGAUCGUCAAAGGUAGCCUCUGCUUGCAUGCUAUCGCUGAGAGAUGAGCCCGCGUCCCAUUAGCUUGUUGGUGGGAUAACAGCCUACCAAGGCUACGAUGGGUAGCCGACCUGAGAGGGUGAUCGGCCACACUGGAACUGAGACACGGUCCAG
This 224-nucleotide ribosomal RNA is filed under the name uncultured bacterium. RNAcentral describes it as "partial 16S ribosomal RNA". It matches the Rfam family "Bacterial small subunit ribosomal RNA", at positions 126 to 334 of the family's 1533-position model. The record is from RNAcentral.